UGUAACGAAUAUACACAUGCUCCGAA
RNAcentral lists this small RNA (26 nucleotides) under Bombyx mori (domestic silkworm). RNAcentral describes it as "ovarian small RNA-35310". The record is from RNAcentral. Lineage: Eukaryota; Metazoa; Arthropoda; Insecta; Lepidoptera; Bombycidae.